GUUUCCAUAGUGUAGUGAUUAUCACUUAUCAGGUUUGCCUCACACACAAAAGGUCCCUAGUUGGAAACCAGGCGGAAACAUC
Molecule: transfer RNA, 82 nt
Filed under: Cervus elaphus hippelaphus
Lineage: Eukaryota; Metazoa; Chordata; Mammalia; Artiodactyla; Cervidae
Description: tRNA-Val
Source: RNAcentral